This 82-nucleotide transfer RNA is filed under the name Candidatus Bathyarchaeota archaeon. RNAcentral's name for it is "tRNA-Leu". It matches the Rfam family "tRNA". Rfam says of the family: Transfer RNA (tRNA) molecules are approximately 80 nucleotides in length. Their secondary structure includes four short double-helical elements and three loops (D, anti-codon, and T loops). Lineage: Archaea; Thermoproteati; Candidatus Bathyarchaeota. The record is from RNAcentral.
GGUUAGAUGGCCGAGCGGUCUAAGGCGCUACGUUCAGGUCGUAGUCUCGCAAGAGGCGUGGGUUCAAAUCCCACUCUAAUCA